Dermacentor andersoni is the source of this 2011-nucleotide non-coding RNA. The record is from RefSeq and is a predicted model, not a curated record. Lineage: Eukaryota; Metazoa; Arthropoda; Arachnida; Ixodida; Ixodidae.
UGGUACACUCGUACCUUAUGUGCCACCGAAGCCCCGAAGUACUCUGGCGUAUACCUUCGCAUGUAAGUAAACGAAUGUAUCUCCUUGUUGAGAAUAUCACGCGAGUAGGCAGCUCUUGUGGUGCAUCACAAUCGUUUGAGAAGCGUCACAGUAGAGCAUUUUUCUACAUGCGGAGCGGUGUUUUUAUUUGCAGGUUUCCCUUCAGUAGGAAAUUGCUGGACAGGCGGACCAGCGCACCGGGAUUGUACUGGCAAAGCCACAAGCAACUCAAAGAAUCUGUUUAAUUGUUGCUCUUUGAACAAUCAUGCUUCUACAAAGGCCACAGCAGAAAAACAGCGUGAUGCCGAGUAUUUCUGUGCCACGAAGUAAUCAAGAGAUUGCAAUGGCAAGCCCUUCCGUGUGUUCCAAAGGUAAAAUUUAAGCUCUAAAUUAAAGAAGACAUUUCUAGUCAGAAACAAGCAAAAAUGGUGAAUGCAGAGUAUCAGAAGCCCAAGGUACAGAAAUUAUGAGAAGUGUCGAAUGAUUUUAAGGAAAGAGUCGUAUUUAAAAAUGCAAGACUCUUUAGUGGAGGUCAAGCAAGUCAAUAUAGGUAGAAUACUCUGCAAAAUUAUGCGAGUGAGGGGAUGUCAAACAAUGGGUCAGGAAAUGCGUUGUUUUUCUGCAAAUUCAGAAAUAAACCAAACAACAAGACAUGCAAUAAUAAAAAAACAAUUUAUUGAUGCUCUCUCCACACUGGGAUAAAUAAAAACAAACACAUCACAUCUAAUGUAGACAUAUCAGACGCCUUGUGAAACACUAAAGGAAAAAUUCCGUUUCGAGCUAUGGCACUUGCCGCAUAGAUGUGGGGGGCCUUGCACUAAUAGUGAUAGUUACCACUGCAUUUAGAAAUUGAAAGCAUUCAUGCAGACAAGGAUGAUUCUUUAUAUUUUUGGCUACCACUUCAAAUGCCUCCACCAAGUGUAACAAUGCUGCACGCAGCCAUACUAAGGAUCUCGCAGCAACACCUGCAGGUAAAAAGCAGACGCAGUCAAAGUGCUGGUGUGUACUGGACACUAUGUUUGAAAACUUUUAGGCAAGAAGAGUGCAAGAAGCAGACAUAACGGCAUUUAUUUCCAUAAUUCCCCAUUUGAAUGGCCUUUUCUUUUUGCUUAGACAAUGCCUACGCCUAGCCACAGCAGCUCCCUCAUACAGACUCCGCAAGCCAAGAGGCCGUGGAGGCAAAUGCAGGCAGCCAACACAGCUCGAACAGCCACCUUAACUGCAGAUGUGUCACCCUAGUCACCAAGGAAACAUUUGAGGGAAAGCGACAGGCAAUGUGAACAGCCACUUCUCCAUGUAAACGAUACUCUUUCUCUCGGAUGACUCCUACGCCACGCCAGCACACUUGUGCACAAAGAUGCCACGGAGGCACGUGCAGGUAGAGGCAAGAAGCAGUGGCACUGGUGUCGACAUUCACCCAAUUUCUUUUUCUUACACUGAGGCAGCCAGCAUACCUCAAACAGCCACCUUGACUGCGGGUGUGUCAGUAGAUUCCUGUUGUACAUAUGCUCAUAAUAAACUAGAGUAAACUUGAACUUGAUAAUAAACUUGAAGGCAAAUGGGACAUUGAUGCAUUGUUUUUUUGAACAUUUAUUGUACACAUACAAUAUAUGUUAUACUUUGCAGUGCUACAGAGCGUAUUUUGAAGCUUCCCCCUAUAUUUUGCACCUUUAAUUACGUACGUGUUGUGUGGCCCUCAAUGCAGUUCAUGUUGUAGCAGCUGCUUUUUCUGUGUAUGGCACAUUGGCUUAAGUUCGUGAUAUCCACAUACUUCUCUCACAUAUACAAAAUAAAGUUCUAUGUAGUCCUCAGUGUUAUACAACAAAAAAUGAAAGUAAACAAUCCGAUCGUGGAAUUGUGUUUGUUACAGUGAUUCCUAUGACAGUUACUGCCAAGCUGACAACUUGAACUGGUCAAUCCGUCCAUAGCCUCCUCUAUUUUUCAAAAAUAAAGGAGGCUAUGAUCCGUCAUG